This 254-nucleotide ribosomal RNA is filed under the name uncultured bacterium. Its description in RNAcentral is "partial 16S ribosomal RNA". It matches the Rfam family "Bacterial small subunit ribosomal RNA", at positions 524 to 776 of the family's 1533-position model. The record is from RNAcentral.
UACGUAGGGGGCGAGCGUUGUCCGAAGUUACUGGGCGUAAAGCGCGCGUAGGCGGACUCUUAAGUGAGGGGUGAAAGGUUCAGGGCUCAACCCGAACACUGCCUUUCAUACUGGGGGUCUUGAGUGCGGGAGAGGCGAGUGGAAUGGUCGGUGUAGCGGUGAAAUGCGUAGAUAUCGAUCGGAACACCCAUGGCGAAGGCAGCUCGCUGGCCUGCAACUGACGCUGAGGUGCGAAAGCGUGGGGAGCAAAAAGG